This is a non-coding RNA of Podarcis lilfordi (Lilford's wall lizard), 96 nucleotides long. NCBI's taxonomy places the organism in Eukaryota, Metazoa, Chordata, Lepidosauria, Squamata, Lacertidae. The record is from the annotation of a GenBank genome assembly.
UCUCCAGCUGUUUUUGGACAACAAUUCCCAUUAUCCCUGAUCUCUGGUCCUGCUAGCUAGGGGUGAUGGGGACUGUGGUCCAAAAACAGCUGGAGG